AAGAAUGGCUGUGUCUCUCUUGUAAAAAUUGGAACGAUACAGAGAAGAUUAGCAUGGCCCCUGCGCAAGGAUGACACCCAAAUUCGUGAAGCGUUCCAUAUAAAA
This 105-nucleotide small nuclear RNA is filed under the name Myotis brandtii (Brandt's bat). Lineage: Eukaryota; Metazoa; Chordata; Mammalia; Chiroptera; Vespertilionidae. The record is from RNAcentral.